AGGGCUCAAGAUCAUGAUGCAUAUACUCCAUUGACAUGCUGUUUCAAGCAUGCGCUCAGGUGGAUCUAGCUACUAGCUACCACUAGCUCUAGCUCCUCUAGUUAGCUUGCCAUAAGAAGUAGUAGCAUUAGAUGCAUGGCUAGCUUAAUUUCAAUUAGAGCCAGCUAUAAAUAUUUUCUGGAUUAGUAAUUAAUUUAUCUCU
This 202-nucleotide small RNA is filed under the name Oryza sativa Japonica Group (Japanese rice). Its description in RNAcentral is "sRNA Os08g0435750". Lineage: Eukaryota; Viridiplantae; Streptophyta; Magnoliopsida; Poales; Poaceae. The record is from RNAcentral.